UCGGGCAUAGUGGCGCACGGGUGCGUAACGCGUGGGAAUCUGCCCUUGGGUUCGGAAUAACAGUGAGAAAUUGCUGCUAAUACCGGAUGAUGUCUUCGGACCAAAGAUUUAUCGCCCAGGGAUGAGCCCGCGUAGGAUUAGCUAGUUGGUGGGGUAAUGGCCUACCAAGGCGACGAUCCUUAGCUGGUCUGAGAGGAUGAUCAGCCACACUGGGACUGAGACACGGCCCAGACUCC
This 236-nucleotide ribosomal RNA is filed under the name uncultured bacterium. RNAcentral describes it as "partial 16S ribosomal RNA". It matches the Rfam family "Bacterial small subunit ribosomal RNA", at positions 86 to 339 of the family's 1533-position model. The record is from RNAcentral.